Solanum stenotomum is the source of this 632-nucleotide long non-coding RNA. RefSeq lists it as uncharacterized. Lineage: Eukaryota; Viridiplantae; Streptophyta; Magnoliopsida; Solanales; Solanaceae. The record is from RefSeq and is a predicted model, not a curated record. The transcript has 4 exons.
UCUUCCUUUCAACUACAAGUCUACAAUCCAUAUAUCUCAAAAAGACUCAAUUUUAAAAUGAAGAAAAUUGCUACUACUUCAUCCAAUUUCCUAGUAAUAUUUCUUAUUUUAUCAUUAUGUAUGCCAAGCGAAUCGAGGAACUUAAACUUAAACUUGUACUUGUCCUCAACUGUCAAUUUCGAAGGUCGCAGAAAUAGAGAAAUCCCGAAUAAACUAUAUCCUUCACCUAUACCAAAUCCUGGUUAUCGACAGGUUAGUCCGACACCGUCGCCCAUGAUAGAAUAAGGAAAAAGCUAGAAGAAUCAAAACCGGGAAACAUUUUUGAAGAGCCGUUGGUACGCCGCCACCGCAGCCCAUGAUAACGGAAUAAGGAUAAACCGGGGCAAUUUUGCUAAAGAGACACAAAGGAUGGACUACGUGGGCAGCAGCCACCGCCGGAGCACCAGGGCAUCGCCCCGUGGGGGCUAUCCUUCCCCGGCAGCAAAUGUAAAUGACCAUGUACAUCACUAGUGAUGAAUCUCUAUUUUGUUGUGGACUUAAUUCUCAUUUGAUUAUAUGAUGAGACUUUGUUUGAUUGUAUUUGUGUUUAUGCUAUUUCUGCUAUUUCUAUAUAAAGCAACGAAAGUAAACUU